GACGAACGCUGGCGGCGUGCUUAACACAUGCAAGUCGAACGCUGAAGCUUGGUGCUUGCACUGGGUGGAUGAGUGGCGAACGGGUGAGUAAUACGUGAGUAACCUGCCCUUGACUCUGGGAUAAGCCUGGGAAACUGGGUCUAAUACUGGAUAUGACAUGCCACUGCAUGGUGGUGUGUGGAAAGGGUUUUACUGGUUUUGGAUGGGCUCACGGCCUAUCAGCUUGUUGGUGGGGUAAUGGCCUACCAAGGCGACGGCGGGUAGCCGGCCUGAGAGGGUGACCGGCCACACUGGGACUGAGACACGGCCCAGACUCCUACGGGAGGCAGCAGUGGGGAAUAUGGCACAAUGGGCGGAAGCCUGAUGCAGCGACGCCGCGUGAGGGAUGACGGCCUUCGGGUUGUAAACCUCUUUCAGCACGGAAGAAGCGAGAGUGACGGUACGUGCAGAAGAAGCGCCGGCUAACUACGUG
Molecule: ribosomal RNA, 472 nt
Filed under: uncultured bacterium
Lineage: Bacteria
Description: partial 16S ribosomal RNA
Rfam family: Bacterial small subunit ribosomal RNA
Source: RNAcentral